GUCUACGGCCAUGACACCCUGAAUAAGCCCGAUCCUGCCUGAUCUCGGAAGCUAAGCAGCAGCGGGCCUGGUUAGUACUUGGAUGGGAGACCACCUAGGAAGACCAGGUGCUGUAGGCG
Molecule: ribosomal RNA, 119 nt
Filed under: Pteropus alecto (black flying fox)
Lineage: Eukaryota; Metazoa; Chordata; Mammalia; Chiroptera; Pteropodidae
Source: RNAcentral